Molecule: long non-coding RNA, 3344 nt
Filed under: Equus caballus (horse)
Lineage: Eukaryota; Metazoa; Chordata; Mammalia; Perissodactyla; Equidae
Description: lncRNA (ENSECAG00000055292.1)
Source: RNAcentral
CUGGACUCUUGCGUCCCUGCGACUGGGAGGGACUCUCAGCACAGGGUAUGCAGUGGUGCUCAAUGCGUGCUCACAGUCACAGGCGGGGCCACGGAAGCUGAGGGAGAGCUGAGGGCAGCUGGAGCGCCCGGGACGCUGCCCUGUGAGGCCCCCGAGGUGCCAGCCUGCUCUCUACACACGGCUCGGCUUGGAGGAGGCCCAAGGUGACAUCUGGGGGCAGCGACGGGCCUCCCUGGGCUGGGACUGUGGGGGGUCCCUGCCUCCCGCUGUGGCCCGGGUGGCGGGGUCCUGCAGAGCGGCUCCUGGGCCCAGGUGUUGGGAGGGCUGGUCCCGCCUCAGCCUCAGGCGGAAGGUUUCUGAACAGCUGGGGCUUGGACUGGAUUGGGGACACGCUCCAGCGGGCACCGGGAAUGCAGGGCCAGCUGUGCGCUAGCUGAGUCCUGCCUCUCCCCAGGCCCCGAGGGCGGGAGCCGCCCGGCGGGCACACCGAGGUCAUCGGCUGGAAUGGGCUUGGCUCUGGGCUCAACGGGUAGCUGGACUGACGGGCCCUUCUGAUCACAGCCAGGGCCACAGACCAGACCCCGGGGCAGGGCCGUGUCCCCCCAGCCGACCCCGGGGCAGGGCCGUGUCCCCCAGCCGACCCCGGGGCAGGGCCCUGUCCCCCCACCUGACCCCGGGGCAGGGCCAUGUGCCCCCAGCCGACCCCGGGGCAGGGCCGUGUCCCUCCACUGGACCCCAGAGCAGGUUCUAGAUUCUGGGAGCCUGGCUUUUCUGAAUCCGCACCUCCCCCAGGUCGGGUCUGAGACCCCAGAGACCUUGGGAGUGGAGGAUGGGUGGGAUGAACGGCCCUCCCCUCGCCCCACAAAGCCUCUGGUCUCCUCACCCUCCCCAGCCUGCUGCAGCUGUGGGGUGUGGGGAGCCCCCUUGCUCACCUGGAGCAGCCCUGGGCCCCUCUGGCUGCCACGUCGCAGGGACAGAGUCCCUGUCUGCCUGGGUGGCCAUGGCAGAGGGUCUGGGUGGGGUCCAUAAAGCUGGCCUGCCCACUGGCUUUGCUCCCCGGGCUGGGCUGGGGCCUGAGGCCCCCUUGCCCUCUCGGUGCCCAAGGGCACAGGGUCAGGCUUAAGACCAGGGAAGCCUCAGCCUUUGGGCCCAGACCCAGGCUGGCCUCAGCCCCUGGGUGCGGGUGUCAGCAAGGAACACCUGGAGCUGCACUGCCGGCACCACAUGGGGAUGCAAAUGUGAACCGCCUACAGCUGAUGCAGAGUCCCCGAGACCUGAGCAGACCCUGGUCCGGGCUGUGGUCUGGAGGGGUCAUUUCUUGUGGAUGCUGGAGCAAGGGGUCAGCCAGCUAGGACUGGAGGUUGCCUGGUGCCCUCGUCCACAGCUCCCCUUGGGCUCUCUCCUGGGCACUCCCUCCCACACCUCCCUCUCCCCUGGCAUCCAUACCUGUGAGGCUGGUCUUCCCCCCAGAAAGCUGGGGGCUGCCUCUUCCCACGGUCAGCCUGAGCACUCUCCUGUGGCUCUGCCCCACUGGCCAGGGUACCCCCUUUCUGUGGCCCACACCCCUUCAAGCCCUCUGAACUCCGCCCAGGCCAUCCCGACCCUCUCAUCUGCCUGGCGACAUCCCGUUCUGCAAGACUCAAGGCUGCCACCGCCUCCUGCAGACAGCCUUCCUGGAUUGCUUGCCCAGGCCGAGGAGUCUCUGAAAGGGAAAGCAGCCCAAGGGCACAGAUGGCCCUACGAGACAGGGACCAAGGAGACAAGCUGAGGGCAGCCAGCAGCGGGGCAGGCUGACGAUGGCCCUCAUGGCAGACCUAGGCCUGACCAACCAACGUCAGAAGAGAACCUUCCAGAAGGGGAGACAGCGACCAAGAGCCCAGGGCAGAGGCAUAAGCAACUUGAGAAAAAGGCCAACGAUGGAGAAGGCUGGAUCCCACGAGCAGGGACGGGCACUGAGAGGGAGAAGCCGUCCGAGAUGCUCCUGGAGACCAGUGGUUCCUGUCGCCUUGCUUUGUGUUUCGUCCUUGCGUCCUCGCUGUCUCCAGAGGCUGAAUGUCUGAGAGCCGCUGGGGCCGGAGUGGGGCCGGAACGUGGGUCUCCUCCCUCGUCCCCACCUUGGCGUCACGGCUCCCCGUGGGCAGGGCCGCAGGAGUCCAGGAGGACAGCCCCACCGGGGGUAGCCACGCGGAGGAACGGGAGGCAGUGCCGACCUCCUCUUUCCUCCCAGGGCUGCGGGCACCCCCUGCACACCCACCGCCCUUGGGGGGCCUCAGACUCCAGAGGGGCCAGGCCGGCCCCAGAGGGCACAUGCGUGCUCAGCGUGGUGUCCGGCCCUGCAGCCACCAGGGCUCUGCAGGGCGAGCUGCUCCCAGCUGCUCCCUGCUGUCUCUCCAGGACGUCACCCCUUGCUCCUGGGUCCCAAGCCUUCUGCCCCUGCACCGCUACCCAGAAGCCACACUCGGGAGCCAGAGCCACAGAGGACCUUCCUGGGUGCCAGGCACACAGCCCUCAGACCCCCGCUGGCCCGUGGGCUGCAGGUCCCCUGAUCUUCUUGGGUCCACUGCCCUCCCCCGGACCCUGUGGUGCUGCUUGCUGACUAGCCACUGGGAGCGCCCUGCCCCUUAGACAGCUGGCCUCAGGACUGAGAUGGGGCCUCAGGCAGCCAGCCCUGUCUCACCUUUGCCCCUGGAUGCUGGCUGUAGGCCCAAGACCCACACCUCCCAGGUGGGCCUUCUCUCUCCCCCAGGCCUCUGCGUGGCCCUGUCCUGUCUCCCUCUCUCCCUAUGGACCUGGGGCACGGCCUGGAGGCCAGUCUGGGGAGGCCUGGGGAGGAGGACGUGGGCAAGCAGAACAUGCAAGGUUUGUGUAUGGGAAGCCACCGGGUCCCUGGGUGGCCUGGGGCAGCAGCAGCCAGUGGCCAUCAGGGACUUGGGGACACAGGCUUUGUGAACCAGAGCCAGAGUGUGGCCUUAGCCUGAAGGUGGGGAGCCAUUAAGUGGUUAAAGCUGUUUUUCUGGUCAUAAAUGUGCACACUCUUGUCAACUUCAAAAAAGCAGAAAGAAGAGAAGUCCCGUGUGGGUGUCUGGUGGGGCCGCUGCCUCCCUCAGUAUUCUCCCAUCGCCCGUGAAUUCCCGGAAUUCCUUCUCAAUCUCCUUUCUGGCUGGGUGCGGUCCAGAGCCCAGCACUUCUCUGAGUCCUGCCCCGUGGUCUCCAGCCUCAGGUCCUAGCCAGCCCUCUUAGCGGGCCCGUGGCCUUCUGAGAGCCCACUGCCUGUGGCCAGCCAGCCAGGGUCCUGGGUGGGGGCUGCCCCUGCCCCCGAGACACGGCUCCUCCCAGCAGCAGCC